AAUGAACGUUGGCGGCGUGGAUUAGGCAUGCGAGUCGUGCGAGAACCGUAGCAAUACGGGGACAGCGGCGAAAGGGAGAGGAACACGUGGAUACCUACCCUCAGGUUCAGGAUAGCUAUGGGAAACUAUAGGUAAUACUGAAUAAUAUCUCCGGAUCAAAGGUGUGAUUCCGCCGGAGGAGGGGUCCGCGUCCUAUUAGCUAGUUGGUGAGGUAAUGGCUCACCAAGGCGAAGAUGGGUACGGGAUGUGAGAGCAUGAUCCCGCUCAUUGGGACUGAGACACUGCCCAGACACCUACGGGUGGCUGCAGUCGAGAAUCUUCGGCAAUGGGGGAAACCCUGACCGAGCGACGCCGCGUGUGAGAUGAAGGCCUCGGUUGUAAUCACUGUCGUAGAGGAGGAAGUGUAGGUGGGUUCGUCCCA
RNAcentral lists this ribosomal RNA (421 nucleotides) under uncultured bacterium. RNAcentral's name for it is "bacterial SSU rRNA". It matches the Rfam family "Bacterial small subunit ribosomal RNA", at positions 29 to 467 of the family's 1533-position model. The record is from RNAcentral.